CUCUGUUUCCGAAAGACGCAGGGCAAAAGGAG
RNAcentral lists this non-coding RNA (32 nucleotides) under unclassified sequences. RNAcentral's name for it is "L31-Firmicutes ribosomal protein leader". It matches the Rfam family "L31-Firmicutes ribosomal protein leader". The record is from RNAcentral.